CCUACGGGUGGCAGCAGUGAGGAAUUUUGGACAAUGGGCGCAAGCCUGAUCCAGCUAUUCCGCGUGUGGGAUGACGGCCCUCCGGUUGUAAACCCCUUUAGUCGGGGACGAAAAGGAGCUGUCGAAUACAUCCCUCUGCUGACGCUGCUCUAAAAGUAUGCACCGGCUAACUACGUGCCAGCAGCCGCGUUAAUACGUAGGGUGCGAGUGUUAAUCGGAAUUACUGGGCGUAAAGGGUGUGCGGGCGGCUGAGUAAGAGAGAUGGGAAAUACCCGGGGUUAACCUGGGAACCGCAGAUGUGACUGCGGGGCUAGAGUGAGCCAGAGGGAGGUGGAAUUCCACGUGUAGCAGUGAAAUGCGUAGAUAUGUGGAAGAACACCGAUGGCGAAGGCAGCCUCCCGGGACGCAACUGACGCUCAGACACGAAAGUGUGGGGAGCAAACAGGAUUAGAUACCCCAGUAGUC
RNAcentral lists this ribosomal RNA (465 nucleotides) under uncultured bacterium. Its description in RNAcentral is "partial 16S ribosomal RNA". It matches the Rfam family "Bacterial small subunit ribosomal RNA", at positions 338 to 795 of the family's 1533-position model. The record is from RNAcentral.